GUGGACUCCUGGGGUGGAGCUGCUACAGGAAGCAGAAGAUGUGCUUGUGGAGAAAGAGGUGACUGUGACCUUGGACUGUCAACUUGUAACUGUGACGCCAAUGACGAGGUAUGGCGGUCAGAUGAAGGCUUCCUUUUGGACAUGGCCUUACUUCCAGUGAGGGAGGUGAGGUUUGGAGACACACGAGAUGCUCCCUUGGAGAUGGCCUUCCACACAAUCGGAUCACUGAGAUGCAGGGGGCACAAGUACAGUAAACCAGUCCUGGAGUCCUGUGCUGCUUUAAAGGACACUGGUAUAAUCCAUUCAGGCCGCUAUGUCAUCG
Molecule: long non-coding RNA, 322 nt
Organism: Megalops cyprinoides (Indo-Pacific tarpon)
Lineage: Eukaryota; Metazoa; Chordata; Actinopteri; Elopiformes; Megalopidae
Exons: 3
Source: RefSeq, a predicted model, not a curated record